GUUAAGCGACUAAGCGUACACGGUGGAUGCCCUGGCAGUCAGAGGCGAUGAAGGACGUGCUAAUCUGCGAUAAGCGUCGGUAAGGUGAUAUGAACCGUUAUAACCGGCGAUUUCCGAAUGGGGAAACCCAGUGUGAUUCGUCACACUAUCAUUAACUGAAUCCAUAGGUUAAUGAGGCGAACCGGGGGAACUGAAACAUCUAAGUACCCCGAGGAAAAGAAAUCAACCGAGAUUCCCCCAGUAGCGGCGAGCGAACGGGGAGCAGCCCAGAGCCUGAAUCAGUGUGUGUGUUAGUGGAAGCGUCUGGAAAGGCGCGCGAUACAGGGUGACAGCCCCGUACACAAAAAUGCACAUGCUGUGAGCUCGAUGAGUAGGGCGGGACACGUGGUAUCCUGUCUGAAUAUGGGGGGACCAUCCUCCAAGGCUAAAUACUCCUGACUGACCGAUAGUGAACCAGUACCGUGAGGGAAAGGCGAAAAGAACCCCGGCGAGGGGAGUGAAAAAGAACCUGAAACCGUGUACGUACAAGCAGUGGGAGCACGCUUAGGCGUGUGACUGCGUACCUUUUGUAUAAUGGGUCAGCGACUUAUAUUCUGUAGCAAGGUUAACCGAAUAGGGGAGCCGAAGGGAAACCGAGUCUUAACUGGGCGUUAAGUUGCAGGGUAUAGACCCGAAACCCGGUGAUCUAGCCAUGGGCAGGUUGAAGGUUGGGUAACACUAACUGGAGGACCGAACCGACUAAUGUUGAAAAAUUAGCGGAUGACUUGUGGCUGGGGGUGAAAGGCCAAUCAAACCGGGAGAUAGCUGGUUCUCCCCGAAAGCUAUUUAGGUAGCGCCUCGUGAAUUCAUCUCCGGGGGUAGAGCACUGUUUCGGCAAGGGGGUCAUCCCGACUUACCAACCCGAUGCAAACUGCGAAUACCGGAGAAUGUUAUCACGGGAGACACACGGCGGGUGCUAACGUCCGUCGUGAAGAGGGAAACAACCCAGACCGCCAGCUAAGGUCCCAAAGUCAUGGUUAAGUGGGAAACGAUGUGGGAAGGCCCAGACAGCCAGGAUGUUGGCUUAGAAGCAGCCAUCAUUUAAAGAAAGCGUAAUAGCUCACUGGUCGAGUCGGCCUGCGCGGAAGAUGUAACGGGGCUAAACCAUGCACCGAAGCUGCGGCAGCGACGCUGAUGCGUUGUUGGGUAGGGGAGCGUUCUGUAAGCCUGCGAAGGUGUGCUGUGAGGCAUGCUGGAGGUAUCAGAAGUGCGAAUGCUGACAUAAGUAACGAUAAAGCGGGUGAAAAGCCCGCUCGCCGGAAGACCAAGGGUUCCUGUCCAACGUUAAUCGGGGCAGGGUGAGUCGACCCCUAAGGCGAGGCCGAAAGGCGUAGUCGAUGGGAAACAGGUUAAUAUUCCUGUACUUGGUGUUACUGCGAAGGGGGGACGGAGAAGGCUAUGUUGGCCGGGCGACGGUUGUCCCGGUUUAAGCGUGUAGGCUGGUUUUCCAGGCAAAUCCGGAAAAUCAAGGCUGAGGCGUGAUGACGAGGCACUACGGUGCUGAAGCAACAAAUGCCCUGCUUCCAGGAAAAGCCUCUAAGCAUCAGGUAACAUCAAAUCGUACCCCAAACCGACACAGGUGGUCAGGUAGAGAAUACCAAGGCGCUUGAGAGAACUCGGGUGAAGGAACUAGGCAAAAUGGUGCCGUAACUUCGGGAGAAGGCACGCUGAUAUGUAGGUGAAGUCCCUCGCGGAUGGAGCUGAAAUCAGUCGAAGAUACCAGCUGGCUGCAACUGUUUAUUAAAAACACAGCA
Molecule: ribosomal RNA, 1793 nt
Filed under: Escherichia coli
Lineage: Bacteria; Pseudomonadati; Pseudomonadota; Gammaproteobacteria; Enterobacterales; Enterobacteriaceae
Description: partial 23S ribosomal RNA
Rfam family: Bacterial large subunit ribosomal RNA
Source: RNAcentral